RNAcentral lists this ribosomal RNA (451 nucleotides) under uncultured bacterium. Its description in RNAcentral is "bacterial SSU rRNA". It matches the Rfam family "Bacterial small subunit ribosomal RNA", at positions 343 to 797 of the family's 1533-position model. The record is from RNAcentral.
UGGAGGCAGCAGUGGGGAAUUUUGCGCAAUGGGCGAAAGCCUGACGCAGCAACGCCGCGUGGAGGAUGAAGGCCUUCGGGUCGUAAACUCCUGUCAGGGGGGACGAAAGCCGCGCAAGCGGUUUGACUGUACCCUCUGAGGAAGCCACGGCUAACUCCGUGCCAGCAGCCGCGGUAAUACGGAGGUGGCAAGCGUUGUUCGGAAUUACUGGGCGUAAAGGGCGCGUACGCGGCUUGGCAAGUCAGAUGUGAAAGCCCCGGGCUUAACUUGGGAAUUGCAUCUGAAACUGCUUUGCUUGAGUCCUGGAGGGGGUAGUGGAAUUCCCAGCGUAGCGGUGAAAUGCGUAGAUAUUGGGAGGAACACCUGCGGCGAAGGCGGCUACCUGGACAGUGACUGACGCUGAGGCGCGAAAGCUAGGGGAGCAAACGGGAUUAGAAACCCUGGUAGUCCA